AGAAUCUUUCACAAUGGGGGCAACCCUGAUGGAGCGACGCCGCGUGGAGGAUAAGGUCUUCGGAUUGUAAACUCCUGCCAUGCGAGAGUAAGGCCCAUGCGUUAACUGAGUGUGGGAUUGACCGUACCGCAAGAGGGAGAGACGGCUAAAUCUGUGCCAGCAUCCGCGGUAAUACAGAGGUCUCAAGCGUUGUUCGGAAUUACUGGGCGUAAAGGGUGCGUAGGCUGCGCAGAAAGUCAGAUGUGAAAUCCGGGGGCUCAACCUCCGAAUUGCAUCCGAUACUCCUGUGCUAGAGGACUGGAGAGGAGCUUGGAAUUCUCGGUGUAGCAGUGAAAUGCGUAGAGAUCGAGAGGAACACUAGUGGCGAAGGCUGGGCUCUGGACAGUAUCUGACGCUGAGGCACGAAGGUCAGGGGAGCAAA
RNAcentral lists this ribosomal RNA (421 nucleotides) under uncultured bacterium. Its description in RNAcentral is "bacterial SSU rRNA". It matches the Rfam family "Bacterial small subunit ribosomal RNA", at positions 358 to 772 of the family's 1533-position model. The record is from RNAcentral.